UUUUGUAUAAAAAUAUAACAAAAGUUAGAACGAAGCUCCAAGUUUGCUCGGUAGUAAAGCCACUGUUAGAGUUCGCUUCGGUAACGGCUCUUGCGGAGCUCUUCCCUCCCGUGUUUCCUUCCUCCCGCAUUAGUAAACUGCCUGCUUCCUGCAGCACGGCCACUAACUGUUACCCCGUCGUCUUAAUGGACCGUUUACCCCGGCCGACCGACCAGACGACCCACCGCCGUCAGAUUACAAGCUUGACCGCCGUCACUACACUUGCUUAGACUGGCACUCUCUCCUAACAUACUACCUGGGACCAAGAAGCAGCUUGAUGGCUGGUACCCAUAAUGAAUGCGGCUUAAGCUGCGGCGACAAAGUCAGAACUUGUAUUCUCAAGGUACUGCCUCUACCAACGUUACGAUGUUCGCGCAAUCACGAGAUUCGACGACAUAUUGUUAUCACACUGACGACAGAAAUGCAUUAUUACUUUAACUUCAACUCUCAGUUGACUCGAGACUUGACAUGUAACAUAACAAAACGAGAGAGAGAGAGAGAGAGAGAGAGAAUGUAAUAAUUCCAUUACUAAACUGAAGAUAGAUCAAAUAUUACCACAUAUAUGGUACCAGAAAAUAUUAAUGUCAAGAAAGGUAAUAUAAUUUAAAAAACUUAAUAUUAUUUAUUUAUCAUUGCAUAUUUCUGUAUCAUUUCUAAAUCACAGUAAAAAUGUAUUUAUAUAAUUUUUAUACGGACGUAAAACAUUAACAAUUUUCCAGAUAUAAAAGCUUUAAACGUUUUUAGCAUUAAAAAAGCAUUAUAUACCGGGUUGCGCGUAAUAUAAAAAUCAUUAUGCAAAUAAUGUAACAGAAAAAAAGAGAUAAUACAAUUUCGCGAAGCUAAUGUCAGUGAGCGAGAAAAAUGUUUAAGAGGCGAACGAUGCCUCGCCAUACGAUAUUAUAUCAGGAUUUAUGAAAAAAAAAAACGAAGUAAACGCGUCGUCGCUUGUGAAAUGAGGUACGAUAAAAGCAGAGUCGCCGAACCAUUUUUGGCCGCCACCCUCUAUUUAAACAAGAACAAAGGAGAAUCGUCGGCGCAGACGCUGACAUCGAACGACGCGUAUGGACUCGAAUCGAUGUAUAUAUAUGUUGAAAAUAGAUAAUGUCAAGCAGUAUUUCAGUCGCCUUUUUUAACGCUGUCGAUAUUUUGUCCUUAGCUCUGACUUUCCUUCAAAAAGGCACGAAAGCAUGUUGCAAUUUAGUUCAUAUUGACGUAAUAAUUUGCAAAAAUCGAUUAUCGAUAUCACGACACUUCAACCACUAUCGUAUAAACUUUGUUUCUUCUAAAAACUAUAAUUUCGUGUACUUCUAGAGAAAAGUGAGAAAAAUUUAAUUCUUCAACAUGUAAAUCAUCCGAGAUUAGAAAAAAAUUAUAUUAUUGCAAUGUUGUCUAUCUUUCAACUUCGACGUAAACUUUAUUCGAAAUACCAAACAAAAUUCGAGAAACAAAAAUAUAAUUAUAAAAAAACCAGAGGUUAUCUCCUACUGUGACGUUUUUACAUAUCAAAUUUAAAUUGUCACGCUCUUCAAAAAAAGUCUCUUCGAAAAAUAGUACGGUUUAUAAUUUGAUAUGUGUAUAAUUACAAACAAUAAUACAAGCUUGCAACCAUAAAGAAAGAACAGUUCAACGCACUAAUGUUCAUUUUGACAGCGGGAGUGAAUACGAAGCCGCUCCAUAUUCCAGGCUGCAAAGCUAUCGCUAUUGUUCGCGAUGAACCAGCUAGGAAGAAGAAUAAAAUUGCGGAACCAUUACCAUCAUUGACGUUAGGUUAAUGAGAAGUAUUAUUUAUCAAGCACAUAACGAUCCUUUAAUGGGUAUCCGGCAAAAGAAGUACGAAAGAUGAAAAAUAAAACGGAUGUCAUUUAUCGAAUAAAUUGCUGUUUGUCAAGCAUUCUUCAGACGGUAUCUGAAUCCUUACGCAACUCACGUUUUAUCGGAGAAUAUCCUGUAUCGAAGAGUCGACGGCACAAAUCUCUUCAACGCAAAGACUUUUUGCAAAAGAGCGGCUGCCUCGUUAUCGAAUCGGACACAAAAACUAACGAACAGGUUUUUCCGUACGUAUUCCUCCGUAUGUAAAAUUGCAUAGUCUUUCUACAAGUGAUCUUGGUUUUUCUACUUAAUGUCACAAAUUCAAUAACUACUGAUUUAGAUUAAAUUUCAUAAAAAUUU
Molecule: unclassified non-coding RNA, 2208 nt
Filed under: Monomorium pharaonis (pharaoh ant)
Lineage: Eukaryota; Metazoa; Arthropoda; Insecta; Hymenoptera; Formicidae
Description: uncharacterized LOC118644706, transcript variant X2
Source: RNAcentral